This 231-nucleotide unclassified non-coding RNA is filed under the name Fusicolla aquaeductuum. Its description in RNAcentral is "partial internal transcribed spacer region". The stretch from base 1 to 48 matches the Rfam family "Eukaryotic small subunit ribosomal RNA", at positions 1784 to 1831 of the family's 1831-position model. The record is from RNAcentral. Lineage: Eukaryota; Fungi; Ascomycota; Sordariomycetes; Hypocreales; Nectriaceae.
AAAAGUCGUAACAAGGUCUCCGUUGGUGAACCAGCGGAGGGAUCAUUACCGAGUUUACAACUCCCAAACCCCUGUGAACAUACCUAUCGUUGCUUCGGCGGAUCCGCCCCGGUGCCCUCGGGCCCGGACUCAGGCGCCCGCCGGGGGACCCAAACUCUUGUAUUUCUUUAGUAUCUUCUGAGUAAACAAGCAAAUAAAUUAAAACUUUCAACAACGGAUCUCUUGGUUCUG